UGAGUUUGAUCCUGGCUCAGAUUGAACGCUGGCGGCAGGCCUAACACAUGCAAGUCGAGCGGAAACGACAUUAUCGAUUCUUCGGAUAAUUUAAUGGGCGUCGAGCGGCGGACGGGUGAGUAAUGCCUAGGAAAUUGCCUUGAUGUGGGGGAUAACCAUUGGAAACGAUGGCUAAUACCGCAUAAUGCCUUCGGGCCAAAGAGGGGGACCUUCGGGCCUCUCGCGUCAAGAUAUGCCUAGGUGGGAUUAGCUAGUUGGUGAGGUAAUGGCUCACCAAGGCGACGAUCCCUAGCUGGUCUGAGAGGAUGAUCAGCCACACUGGAACUGAGACACGGUCCAGACUCCUACGGGAGGCAGCCGUGGGGAAUAUUGCACAAUGGGCGCAAGCCUGAUGCAGCCAUGCCGCGUGUAUGAAGAAGGCCUUCGGGUUGUAAAGUACUUUCAGUUGUGAGGAAGGGGGUAACGUUAAUAGCGUUAUCUCUUGACGUUAGCAACAGAAGAAGCACCGGCUAACUCCGUGCCAGCAGCCGCGGUAAUACGGAGGGUGCGAGCGUUAAUCGGAAUUACUGGGCGUAAAGCGCAUGCAGGUGGUUCAUUAAGUCAGAUGUGAAAGCCCGGGGCUCAACCUCGGAACUGCAUUUGAAACUGGUGAACUAGAGUGCUGUAGAGGGGGGUAGAAUUUCA
RNAcentral lists this ribosomal RNA (684 nucleotides) under uncultured Vibrionaceae bacterium. Its description in RNAcentral is "bacterial SSU rRNA". It matches the Rfam family "Bacterial small subunit ribosomal RNA", at positions 1 to 671 of the family's 1533-position model. Lineage: Bacteria; Pseudomonadati; Pseudomonadota; Gammaproteobacteria; Vibrionales; Vibrionaceae. The record is from RNAcentral.